Molecule: ribosomal RNA, 475 nt
Filed under: Streptococcus mitis
Lineage: Bacteria; Bacillati; Bacillota; Bacilli; Lactobacillales; Streptococcaceae
Description: bacterial SSU rRNA
Rfam family: Bacterial small subunit ribosomal RNA
Source: RNAcentral
GACGAACGCUGGCGGCGUGCCUAAUACAUGCAAGUAGAACGCUGAAGGAGGAGCUUGCUUCUCUGGAUGAGUUGCGAACGGGUGAGUAACGCGUAGGUAACCUGCCUGGUAGCGGGGGAUAACUAUUGGAAACGAUAGCUAAUACCGCAUAACAGUAGAUGUUGCAUGACAUUUGCUUAAAAGGUGCAAUUGCAUCACUACCAGAUGGACCUGCGCUGUAUUAGCUAGUUGGUGGGGUAACGGCUCACCAAGGCGACGAUACAUAGCCGACCUGAGAGGGUGAUCGGCCACACUGGGACUGAGACACGGCCCAGACUCCUACGGGAGGCAGCAGUAGGGAAUCUUCGGCAAUGGACGGAAGUCUGACCGAGCAACGCCGCGUGAGUGAAGAAGGUUUUCGGAUCGUAAAGCUCUGUUGUAAGAGAAGAACGAGUGUGAGAGUGGAAAGUUCACACUGUGACGUAUCUACCAGAAA